Molecule: transfer RNA, 87 nt
Filed under: Pseudomonas sp.
Lineage: Bacteria; Pseudomonadati; Pseudomonadota; Gammaproteobacteria; Pseudomonadales; Pseudomonadaceae
Also listed under: 20 other names
Description: tRNA-Leu
Rfam family: tRNA
About the family: Transfer RNA (tRNA) molecules are approximately 80 nucleotides in length.
Source: RNAcentral
GCCCGGAUGGCGAAAUUGGUAGACGCAUCGGACUUAAAAUCCGCCGGCCGCGAGGCCAUGCCGGUUCGAUUCCGGCUCCGGGCACCA